RNAcentral lists this ribosomal RNA (409 nucleotides) under uncultured Nitrososphaerota archaeon. RNAcentral describes it as "bacterial SSU rRNA". It matches the Rfam family "Archaeal small subunit ribosomal RNA", at positions 452 to 861 of the family's 1478-position model. Lineage: Archaea; Thermoproteati; Nitrososphaerota. The record is from RNAcentral.
CUGGUGUCAGCCGCCGCGGUAAUACCAGCACCCCGAGUGGUCGGGACGAUUAUUGGGCCUAAAGCAUCCGUAGCCGGCCUUACAAGUCCUCCGUUAAAUCCAGCUGCUUAACAGAUGGGCUGCGGAGGAUACUAUAAGACUAGGAGGCAGGAGAGGCAAGCGGUACUCAGUGGGUAGGGGUAAAAUCCGUUGAUCCAUUGAAGACCACCAGUGGCGAAGGCGGCUUGCCAGAAUGCGCUCGACGGUGAGGGAUGAAAGCUUGGGGAGCAAACCGGAUUAGAUACCCGGGUAGUCCCAGCUGUAAACGAUGCAGACUCGGUGAUGGACUAGCUUUAUGCUGGUCCAGUGCCGCAGGGAAGCCGUUAAGUCUGCCGCCUGGGUAGUACGGUCGCAAGACUGAAACUUAAAG